RNAcentral lists this ribosomal RNA (590 nucleotides) under Candida albicans. RNAcentral describes it as "LSU rRNA". It matches the Rfam family "Eukaryotic large subunit ribosomal RNA", at positions 50 to 655 of the family's 3401-position model. Lineage: Eukaryota; Fungi; Ascomycota; Pichiomycetes; Serinales; Debaryomycetaceae. The record is from RNAcentral.
GCGGAGGAAAAGAAACCACCAGGGAUUGCCUCAGUAGCGGCGAGUGAAGCGGCAAAAGCUCAAAUUUGAAAUCUGGCGUCUUUGGCGUCCGAGUUGUAAUUUGAAGAAGGUAUCUUUGGGCCCGGCUCUUGUCUAUGUUCCUUGGAACAGGACGUCACAGAGGGUGAGAAUCCCGUGCGAUGAGAUGACCCGGGUCUGUGUAAAGUUCCUUCGACGAGUCGAGUUGUUUGGGAAUGCAGCUCUAAGUGGGUGGUAAAUUCCAUCUAAAGCUAAAUAUUGGCGAGAGACCGAUAGCGAACAAGUACAGUGAUGGAAAGAUGAAAAGAACUUUGAAAAGAGAGUGAAAAAGUACGUGAAAUUGUUGAAAGGGAAGGGCUUGAGAUCAGACUUGGUAUUUUGCAUGCUGCUCUCUCGGGGGCGGCCGCUGCGGUUUACCGGGCCAGCAUCGGUUUGGAGCGGCAGGAUAAUGGCGGAGGAAUGUGGCACGGCUUCUGCUGUGUGUUAUAGCCUCUGACGAUACUGCCAGCCUAGACCGAGGACUGCGGUUUUUACCUAGGAUGUUGGCAUAAUGAUCUUAAGUCGCCCGUCUU